This 95-nucleotide ribosomal RNA is filed under the name Bacillus chungangensis. Lineage: Bacteria; Bacillati; Bacillota; Bacilli; Caryophanales; Bacillaceae. The record is from RNAcentral.
GCCACACCCGUUCCCAUCCCGAACACGGCAGUUAAGCUUCUCUGCGCCGAUGGUAGUGGAGGAUUUCCCUCCGCAAGAGUAGGACAUUGCCAGGC